AGGAGGCAGCAGUGGGGAAUGUUGCAUAAUGGGCGAAAGCCUGAUGCAGCAACGCCGCGUGUGCGAUGAAGGCCUUCGGGUUGUAAAGCACUUUUGAUCGGGAAGAGAAAGGACGGUACCGGUCGAAUAAGCCUCGGCUAACUACGUGCCAGCAGCCGCGGUAAAACGUAGGAGGCGGGCGUUAUCCGGAUUUACUGGGUGUAAAGCGCGUGCAGGCGGUUGGCUAAGUUGGGUGUGAAAGCUCCUGGCUCAACUAGGAGAGGUCGCUCAAAACUGGCCGACUGGAGAACAGUAAGGGAAGGUGGAAUUCCGGGUGUAGUGGUGAAAUGCGUAGAUAUCCGGAGGAACACCAGUGGCGAAGGCGGCCUUCUGGACUGUUCCUGACGCUCAGACGCGAAAGCUAGGGGAGCAAACGGGAUUAGAUACCCCAGUAGUCC
This 437-nucleotide ribosomal RNA is filed under the name uncultured bacterium. RNAcentral describes it as "bacterial SSU rRNA". It matches the Rfam family "Bacterial small subunit ribosomal RNA", at positions 343 to 796 of the family's 1533-position model. The record is from RNAcentral.